This 95-nucleotide ribosomal RNA is filed under the name uncultured bacterium. RNAcentral's name for it is "partial 16S ribosomal RNA". It matches the Rfam family "Bacterial small subunit ribosomal RNA", at positions 261 to 353 of the family's 1533-position model. The record is from RNAcentral.
UGGCUCACCAAGGCGACGAUGCGUAGCCGACCUGAGAGGGUGAUCGGCCACAUUGGGACUGAGACACGGCCCAGACUCCUACGGGAGGCAGCAUG